UUUAUGAAAUGUAAUAGUUUUGUUAUAAGACAUGACACUUUUACAAUAAUAACCUUGUUUACUAUUGGUGGCUUUCUUAUAAUAUGACUCAUAAAUAAAAAAAUUAUUGGCUUUAUUAACUAACAUUGUUUUAUGUUUUACUUAUUAAAGCGGACAGUUUUAAUUGUGUGCUAAAUUAUUCUCGAUAACUUCUAAGAGCGAAUGAAUGUAAUUAUACAAUUAUUCGUUUUUAGAAAUACCAAACAAGCAAUUUUGAACUUAACCGCUAACAUAGACACAUUUACAAAGUAUCCCUAGGCAUCUUGGAUAUUCAGGAGGGUCACAACGAUAUCUGCGACAAUCUUGAUCAGAAUCACAUAUAGUAACCGCUAUGAUGAUAAAUAAAAAAUAAAUAAAAAAUUGUUAGUAACAUGCGAUGAAACGUUGAGUAUCAAAUUAAGAGUUUUUUUUUUUUUUUUUUGCAAUAAUAAACUUACCGUUGGUUACGAUGGUGAGCAUGUAAAGAUAAAUAAUCAUAGCAAAAACAACCUUGAUAAUAUCACCCAUAUUAUUU
Molecule: long non-coding RNA, 553 nt
Filed under: Medicago truncatula (barrel medic)
Lineage: Eukaryota; Viridiplantae; Streptophyta; Magnoliopsida; Fabales; Fabaceae
Description: lncRNA gene46422
Source: RNAcentral